Vigna radiata var. radiata (mung bean) is the source of this 484-nucleotide long non-coding RNA. RefSeq lists it as uncharacterized. The record is from RefSeq and is a predicted model, not a curated record. Lineage: Eukaryota; Viridiplantae; Streptophyta; Magnoliopsida; Fabales; Fabaceae. The transcript is spliced from 3 exons.
UAAAAUUGGGUUUUGGGUCUUCUUUCUCUCGUUGAUCAAAAUCACGAAUAGGUUUUUUUGGUGUCCUACGACUUCUUCCAUUGGUGGUGAUUUUCGUUCUCUCACUCAUUUCCAUUUGCGUUUUUGAACUGCUUGAAUCAGUGGUUGGGAAGGUUAUUGAUGGGUGUGAGGGUUUAGCAUCAUUGUGGUGGUCGCAAUAGGUGGUUGUGGAGGCUUCCUUUGACUGUGAAGUUUAACGUUUUUGCUUGUUCGUGCCAGCUCUGAAGUAUGGGGGUUUUACAUCAUCAUUCGUGGGCGUUUCAAUUUUUUUGGCGUCUCUCGUAAGUAUAUUUGAGAUUUUACAAACGAUAUCGGGCUCAAGAUAAAACACGUUCCAUGAAGACUCUAAGUACUAAGGAGUGCACGGACAAUUACAACUUCUACGACAACAGAUGGUUUAUCAGUGGGUAUUACACGAAGAAAAUGUUCAUCGAAGUAUGGUCAU